CGAGGACGGGGAGGACGCGCCGCGGCCGGGCAGGGUGGAGACCGGCACCCAGACAGGUGGCGACGGCAGAGGAGCGGAAUUCUCCACGAGUUUUGAGCAGCCUCGGUUUUCCUACCACCUCCAAAUCAUGGAAGACACAGGGUGCAGGCAGAGCCCCCGGGGCCAUGGCCAGCCCUUCCGGCAGCUCCGAAGCCCCUGGCAAGCCCCGAGGCAGGGAUGGCCGGCCCAGGAGGGAGGAGGACGACGUCCCUCCCGAAGAGAAGAGGCUGCGGCUCUUGCUGGAGGGGGGAAGCGCACAGCCCCAGGACUGCGAGGACGGGCAGGACGCGCCGCGGUCGGCCAGGAAGGAGACCGGCACCCAGACAGGUGGCGACGGCAGAGGAUUUCUAUGGGAAUACUCUCUUUGAAGAACCCAUGAAGCAGUGUCAGGCUGGUACGAGGAUCAGCAGUGAUUUCUUUGAGGAGGAGAUCCGUUUCUUCACUCACAGGUCAUGUCUGAGUGGAUCAAGAAGAACAGAGGGCCCUUUUAUGAGAUUUUGUCUGCGUAGACCAUUAGCUUGGUAAAAAUGUCAAAACCAUCCUCAUUCUUUAAUAGCAGAUUAUUUUGGACUUUUCUCUGCAAGAAGCAGCAUGGGCAUUCAGAUGCGUUUAAGGAUAAAAUGUUCUUUCUCAUCACCAGGCCUGGUGCUCUGGAUGGCUGAGGUUUUAAUGUGACUUGGUGUUCCUUGGAGUGGCUCCCAGGCUGUGAUCUUGUGGUCGGGUGGCAAGGGGUUGCUUUAUUCGGUGAUGGCUAGAGGAUGUUUUAGCAGGUAAAUCGGGAUCUCAGGAGCCCCUGAGUGCCAAGUCCUGCUGCAGGGCAUGUGUUUAUGGUGGGGAUGUGGGGGCGUGGAGGGUGGGGGGUAUUGAUUUCCUGCCAAUAUCAGAAGUUUCACAGGCUUCUUGUGUAUCCACAAACACCCACCCCAUUGAGAAGGCCUAGAAAACCUGGCCCUCCCCAAGCCUUUAUUGACCACUUGUGAAUGAUCCCAGGGUGUGUCUGACCCACAGCUCCUCCUGGAGGGAGAGAAAAGUGUCUCCUAGGUACUUGGUUAUCAACCUCAACCACUUGCUGAGCCUUCCCCAAGACCAGGCAUCUUGGCAGAGAUUUCUGGGUUGUCAGGCAGAACCGAGCAUUCGAGGGUAAUAACUCACUGGAGUCCCUGAAAUCCCUGAUGGACACACCAGGUAAAAGCAUCCAGGGUUGAAACCAGAUCAGGAAGGUUGUUGUCAGCCUGGGGCUCCUGUAGAGGUGCAUCCACGUUGCAGGGAUUUUCCUUCUUGCUGAGGAGAAACCUGGUUUCUCAGCUUUGCCACAGUCACAACACUUGGGGUGAGACCAUUCAUGGUGGUGGUGGGGGCAUCCUGUGUAUUGUAGGAUGGCUAGCACCAUCCCUGGUCUCCAUCCUCUAGGUGCCAUUCUAUCCUCCCAGCUGUGGCUACCCCAGAUGUCUCCAGAUGGUCUCAAAUGCUGUGGGGCAAGGGAGUGCUGGACUACACAGGCUGAAGCUCUCUCUGCCGAGAUAUAGAUAUUUCCCUGGUGACGAUCUUUCAAGCUGACAUGAAGACAUGGCCACCCACUGGAACGUCGUGUGUCUGCCGUGGCGCUCUUGUAAUUUGUGAGGCAGGCUCCUGAGGAAUGCAGUGCAACUCAAGAGACAGGAAGGAAAUGAGUUGAAGGCUGGGACAGGGGUCCCUGCCAGGGAUGCUGGUGACUCACAUGACGGUGUUGAUGUGUGGAGUCCGGUGCCUGGUUUGGGGAGUGUUCAUGGGAUAUGUUCCAAAGGACUGACGGACCUAUCAGGCACAGUGGCUCACACCUGUAAUCCCAGCACUUUGGCAGGUCGAGGCUGGUGGAUCACCUAAGGUCAGGAGUUCGAGACCAGCCUGGCCAACAUGGCGGAACUGUCUCUACUGAAAAUACAGAAAUUAGCCAGGUGUGAUGGCACACACCUGUAAUCACAGCUGCUUGGGAGGCUGAGGCAGGAGAAUCAUUUGAACCUGGGAGACAGAGGUUGCAGUCAGCCGAGAUCGCACCAAUGCACUUCAGCCAGCCUGGGUGACAGAGUGAGACCCUGUUUCAAAAAUAAAUAAAUAAAUAAAAUAGAAUUCUGAAUUUUA
Long non-coding RNA from Homo sapiens (human), 2157 nucleotides. Ensembl annotates it as long intergenic non-protein coding RNA 937. The record is from Ensembl. NCBI's taxonomy places the organism in Eukaryota, Metazoa, Chordata, Mammalia, Primates, Hominidae.